CUGACAAUAACUCUUGGAGGUGAGCUCUCACAGCAUCGACGUCCUGAGGGUGAAUAGGUCUAGCCCUAUGCUUGAACGGUGUCUCAUUGCUUAGUUUUAUUUGAUGUUUCACUUUUGCCGUGUGACCAUAAUCAAGGUCAUGCUGCGAGAAGACUUCAGGCCUAGAACUCAGAAACUUUGAGAUCCUCUCCUUCCAUUCUGCAGAUAAAGGGGAGUCUCCAAAAUCAAAGGUGAGGUUGCCAGUGUUACGUUCUCUCUCCACUGGUUCCUUGCUUAAACCUUGAUGCUGGCCCAUGAUCCUCUGGACUGCAUGGAUUUCCGCUAACACAGUUUUAGGAGUAAGUCGUAUGUCAGUUUGUGUCUCAUUCCUCAGCAGGACUGAUAACUUAGUUGGAUGCUUAUGGGGUAGAGAGUGCAGACAGCUUGCAAUCAAGAUUCCAUUCGGCAAAGGGAUCGAUGGUGGUUCAAGGGCCACCCAUCCUUUCAUGUAGGGCCCAUUCAGAUGAACUGCACCAUCCAAAACUACUGUACUUUUUGCAGGUAUAACUUCCACAGAGGUCCCUUUCACUUUUACACACCCAAGGUUCUCGCUGGUAGCUCGAAUCCACCUGGCCUCCAACACUCUAAGUACUGCCUGAUAUCCACAAAGACUGGACUGAAGCUUCACUGAACUCUCUUUGGCACUCUUGCUAUACAACACAUCAAGGGAGUUAGUUCCAACUAGGAUCUGUGGGGAACUCGUCAAGUCUGGCACCACCAACGCCAAAGUAGGAAUUUCAACUUCCACCCCAAUGAACGUUGCAGGAAACUUUAGGGUUAACUCAAUGUAUCCUAAGUAUGGUACAGCCUGACCGUUAGCCCCUUCAACUUCUAACAGGUUACCCAGUGGUUUCAAGGGAGAGUCUGUCAGAUUAUUUUCAUAAAAUGAUUGAGGGACCGUAGUCACUUGUGAGCCUGUAUCUAGCAGACAGUUCACUUUUUUGUCUCCAAUCAUAACUUCUGCCGUACACUUCACUCCUACUAACCCUUUGGGCAAGCAGUUUGACGGCGGUGUGUUAUGUCUAUCUGUAUCAACGUUCUGUUCAAAACAUUCAGGGCGAUAGUCUGAAUGUAUGGUCUUCGUAUGCCCUCCUACAAAGACCUUCUUUAUUUAAAGGCUGAGUAGGCCUUCCAUACUGAGAGUCCCAAGCACGCUGCUGCUCUCUCAGCUUAGCCCUUUUCUCCGUCACCUUAGCGGGGUUCGCUGCAUUUUCGCAAUUAACUGCCAGGUGUCCAUCUUCUCCACAGGAAAAACAAUACCAAGCACGAGGCCUAUCAGUCCUCAAUGAGCUUUUCCUGGGGUCAUUGUUCCUCACUGUAUCAAGCGGUCUCUGCAUAUAGAAUGCUUGAGGUGUCUGACGAAUAGCACUCUGAGCUUGCAGUUCAGCCACUUGACUUCGCAGCUUACGAAUCUCUGAUUCCUCCAAAUCGCUUGAUUUUGAACUUUGGGCUACUGACUCCUUCACUGCCGCAACCUGGGUGCUUAACUCCUCCACCAUCCCCUUCAGAGCAGUUAGCUCAACCUUCUCAGAGAAACCUUUCUUGUUCUUCUGAUCUGGUGGCUGUUUCAGGGCUGUGACUUGAGCCUGAAUUUCCACUACUUGCUUCCUUAACAGACUCAUUUCAGAAUUCUCAGAAUGUGGUAUAUCACAAGGGCAAGCCAACAUCUGAUUGGAAGGUACUCGAAGCUUUGGAAAACCAGCUGAAGGUUUUGACAGUCCAAGAUGUUUCUUCAUACGUUCCUCCUUCGAAGCUUGUUUAUCUUCUUGAGUACGUAUAAGCACUGCC
Cyprinus carpio carpio is the source of this 1827-nucleotide long non-coding RNA. The record is from Ensembl. Lineage: Eukaryota; Metazoa; Chordata; Actinopteri; Cypriniformes; Cyprinidae.